RNAcentral lists this long non-coding RNA (715 nucleotides) under Physcomitrium patens. RNAcentral's name for it is "long non-coding RNA (PPAT_LNC011637)". Lineage: Eukaryota; Viridiplantae; Streptophyta; Bryopsida; Funariales; Funariaceae. The record is from RNAcentral.
GCACAAGCGGCCAAGCAAGCAUUGGAUGAUCUAGUUCCCGAGCCUUUAAAUGAGUCCCAAUUGUCGGAAUCCGCACCUCUUUUAAAAAUGAUUGACAUGUAUUAUGUUCAAUGCUUUUAUAGUAAAGAGUGGAAAUUACGCGACAAAGCUUUUCAAUACAUGAUUCAAAAAAUUAAGAAUGAACAAAUUAAUGGAGAUUCACUUGAUGUUUUUAGGUAAAAAUCAACUAAAAUUAUUAUAUUUGGUUGAAUUUAUAAUUUAUUUUUGGUAUUUUUAUUAUAAAUAUCAUUACUUAAUUUAUUUUUUAAAAUAUUAUUUAUAAUAAUAUAAAAUAAUUAAUCUUACAAUUUUAAUGACCAAUCUAUUGAUAAAUGUUGAAUAGUUUUAAUAAAUCACUUAGCAAAAAAUGUACAAGUGUUCUUUGAAAUAAAUAUUAAGUAAAAAAUUUAAUAUACGUAUAUUGGAUAGGGUUUUGAGCAAAGUCAUAUUGAAAGGCUUAAAUGACAAAGUAUCAAAUAUUUUCAACAUUGCAUUACAGGUUUGUGUGACUACAUUUUAUUCAUUAAUAGAAUAGAACAAAAUUUCCUACAACAUAUAUUGAACACUAUUGACUCAAAACAUAACAAAAAAGAAUGUAUACCUUUAUUGCAUUUUUAAUAUUAUAAUCCAAUUGAUUGAAAAAUUAACCUUUACUUUUUUGGAGAGGUUGUAGAUG